CUUGCCUUGUUGUUUAUUCACCUGAUCUCCUAGGCUAGGUUAGUUAUCUGGGGGAGUUGGGGUUUAUCUGGGAUAUGGUACCGUCAGUAUUUUAUGAUGGAGAUUAAGGUUUUUUCACUAUCUGGAAUAUUAUACUGUCAGUCUUUACGAUGGAGAUUCAUGUUUUCUCAGUACAUUUCAUUCGCUAAUCAGUGUUUCGACUCUGUUUAUCUCGUUUCAUUUUAAUGGUUUGGCUACAGUUCUUAGAUCCGACUACUCUACAGGAUAAAGGUCAAGGCUUCACCCAUUGGUUCCAC
This is a non-coding RNA of Pelobates cultripes (western spadefoot toad), 296 nucleotides long. NCBI's taxonomy places the organism in Eukaryota, Metazoa, Chordata, Amphibia, Anura, Pelobatidae. The record is from the annotation of a GenBank genome assembly.